Molecule: long non-coding RNA, 703 nt
Organism: Hypanus sabinus (Atlantic stingray)
Lineage: Eukaryota; Metazoa; Chordata; Chondrichthyes; Myliobatiformes; Dasyatidae
Exons: 3
Source: RefSeq, a predicted model, not a curated record
GUGGAGGCACUUGAGGAUGGAGGAAACAAAUGUGCUGACGUUCAGAUCCUGCCAGAUCUGAAAUAAUUAGCUUUUUGGGAUUCCAAGCAUCUGCAUAUUUUUGCUUCUGCAUGCACAACUCUGUGCAUUCAUUCUUCAAGUGUCUGCAAUGGUUCAAGAAGUCAAUUCACCACCAUCUUCUCAAGAGCAGAAUACUGUAUAAGAAAAAUAUUAUGCUGAGAUGAGGCUGAGUUGCUGGCUCAACACUCAACCCUACAAGGAGACAGCCGGACUCGAACCUGGGACCACUUGCCUCGAACUCCAGUGCUGAUGACACUGCCAGCCAUCUAAGUGAUUCUUGCAGCAUGGUCAAUUUUACAUGUUGAAAUCCAUUUCUAAACAUCUACAGUAUUCAGGAAAUGUUGUAGUGUGUGACUAUAUAGUGUGUUUAGAGUUGAUAAUACAAAUAUUGCCCCAUUGACAGCUGUUUAAUAAAUAUUUAAUAAAUAAAACUUAAUGCAAGUAGUUGUAUUCCAAAUACUAUUUCCAUUGUUUACAUGUUUGCAGUCCAUUUUAAUAAUUCAUUUGCAGCAGAAUGCUGUUGAAGGAAUGGUAAAUAUAUAUGUAAGUUCCCAGCUGCCAUCAGGAAUUGAUCAAAACCAAUUAUUUUGCACAGUUGAAUAACAUAUAUUUGUUUACUUCCUUAAAUGUCUCCACAAAAUUA